RNAcentral lists this ribosomal RNA (428 nucleotides) under uncultured bacterium. Its description in RNAcentral is "bacterial SSU rRNA". It matches the Rfam family "Bacterial small subunit ribosomal RNA", at positions 354 to 796 of the family's 1533-position model. The record is from RNAcentral.
GUAGGGAAUAUUGCACAAUGGAGGAAACUCUGAUGCAGCGACGCCGCGUGAGUGAUGAAGGCCUUCGGGUCGUAAAGCUCUGUCGCAGGGGAAUAACACAAUGAAGGUACCCUGUAAGAAAGGAUCGGCUAACUUCGUGCCAGCAGCCGCGGUAAGACGAGGGAUCCUAGCGUUGUUCGGAAUCAUUGGGCGUAAAGCGGAUGUAGGUGGCUAUGUAAGUCAGAUGUGAACGCCUGGGGCUCAACCCCAGAAGUGCAUUUGAUACUGCGUAGGUUGAGUGUCGGAGAGGUUACGAGAAUUGUUGGUGUAGUGGUGAAAUACGUAGAUAUCAACAGGAAUACCGGAGGCGAAGGCGGGUAACUGGCCGACAACUGACGCUGAUGCACGAAAGUGUGGGGAUCGAACAGGAUUAGAAACCCCGGUAGUCC